GUAGAGCAUUUUUCUACAUGCGGAGCGGCGUUUUUAUUUGCAGGUUUCCCUUCAGUAGGAAAUUGCUGGACAGGCGGACCAGCGCACCGGAAUUGUACUGGCGAAGCCACAAGCAACUCAAAGAAUCUGUUUAAUUGUUGCACUUUGAACAAUCAUGCUUCUACAAAGGCCACAGCAGAAAAACAGCCUGAUGCCGAGUAUUUCUGCCACGAAGUAAUCAAGAGGCGAGUGCCUAAUGCGGACGAAAUCGAGUGCAUCGAGACUUAGAACGACAGAAAGCUGAGCUAGUUGAUAUGCAAUGGCAAGCCCUUCCGUGUGUUCCAAAGGUAAAAUUUAAGCUCGAAAUUAAAGAAGACAUUUCUAGUCAGAAACAAGCAAAAAUGGUGAAUGCAGAGUAUCAGAAGCCCAAGGUACAGAAAUUAUGAGAAGUGUCGAAUGAUUUUAAGGAAAGAAUGGUAUUUGAAGAUGCAAGAUUCUUUAGUGGAAAUCAAGCAAGUCAGUAUAGGUAGAAUACUCUGAGAAAUUAUGCGAGUAAUGGGAUAGCACACAAUGGGUCAGGAAAUGCGUUGUUUUUCUGAAAAACUAAAGCUGAUGACUGUCAUAUCAUGAGUCACUUUAGCAUCAUGAGACUGCUGUUUGAUAAAUUCAGAAACAAACCAAAAAGCAAGCCAUGCAAAAAUAAAAAAAAAACUAUUUAAUGAUGCUCUCUCCACACUGGGAUAAAUAAUAAGAAACGGAUCACGUCUAAUGUGGACAUAUCAGACACCUUGUGAAACACUAAUAGAAAAAUUCAGUUUCGAGCUAUGGCACUUGCCGCAUAGAUGUGGGGGGGUCUUGCACCAUAGUAAUAGUUACCACUGCAUCUAGAAAUUUAAAGCACUCAUGCAGACAAGGAUGAUUCUUUAUAUUUUUGGCUACCACUUCAAAUGCCUCCACUAAGUGUUACAAUGCUGCACGCAGCCAUACUAAGGAUCUCACAGCAACAUUUGCAGGUAAACAGCAAAAGCAGUCAAAGUGCUGGUGUAUUCUGGACACUGUCUUUGAAAACAUUUAGGCAAGAACAGUGCAAGAAACAGACAUAAGAACUGCAUUUAUUUCUAUAAUUCCCCAUUUGAAUGGCCUUUUAUUUUUCCUUCGACAAUGCCUUCGCCUAGCCACAGCAGCUCCCUCAUACAGACUCCGCAAGCCAAGAGGCCGUGGAGGCAAAUGCAGACAGCCAGCACACCUCGAACAGCCACCUUGACUGCGGGUGUGUCACCCUAGUCGCCAAGGAAACAUUUGAGGGAAAGCGACAGGCAAUGUGAACAGCCACUUCUCCAUGUAAACGAUACUCUUUCUCUCGGAUGACUCCUACGUUCGCCACGCCAGCACACUUGUGCACAAAGAUGCCGCGGAGGCACGUGCAGGUCAGAGGCAAGAAGCAGUGGAACUGGUGUCGACAUUCGCCCAAUUUUUUUUUUCUUACACUGAGGCAGCCAGCACACCUCGAACAGCCACC
Dermacentor andersoni is the source of this 1498-nucleotide long non-coding RNA. RefSeq lists it as uncharacterized. The record is from RefSeq and is a predicted model, not a curated record. NCBI's taxonomy places the organism in Eukaryota, Metazoa, Arthropoda, Arachnida, Ixodida, Ixodidae.